RNAcentral lists this long non-coding RNA (1035 nucleotides) under Homo sapiens (human). RNAcentral describes it as "non-protein coding lnc-RPS16-1:4". Lineage: Eukaryota; Metazoa; Chordata; Mammalia; Primates; Hominidae. The record is from RNAcentral.
CAGCCUAGUUGGGGAGAAGGACUGGGCCCAAUACCAGAAGCUGAUCCAAAGUGGUCAGAACUGGGGAAGGAGACCUGUGAGCUGAAAGCAGGUAAAGGAAGUAUCCAGACAGAGGCACUGGUAAAAGACCUGGAGCUGGGAAGGGUCUAGGGACCAGGGACAGGUUGUACUGUAAUUCUGGAAACCUGUGAGGCUCAAAGAAAGGGCAGAGAGCUCAGGUGGGAAAUAGAAAAGGCACCUGAACAGUCCAGGGAUGGCUUUCGACUACUUGAAACAGCCUUGGGAGUUUCAGAAGCUAUUGGAAUGCUCCUUACUGUUCAGCCUUCUAAGAACCAGUCUUAGAGGUAGGGUGUCUGAGGUCCAGUGAGGGACACAAGUAGGAGGGAGCCCAGAUCUUGUUCCCUUUACCUUGCCUAUAUUUCUUAACACCACUUCAGCAGUCUCAUAUCUGGCUUUUUUGACUUUCCUCUUCUCUGGGUCUGUAGAGGGCCUUGGAGUGACACCCUGACCCCCAUCCACUAGUACUUGAAGGCCAGUGGUGGCAGAAGCCACAGAAACAAGAAGCCCAGUGAGAUGGCUAAGCUGCCCAGCAUGUAACUUAAAUCCCUGUUCAUUCCCCAUUCCUUUAGCUGCUGGAGCCAGUUCUGCUUCUCGGCAAGGAGCGAUUUGCUGGUGUAGACAUCCGUGUCCGUGUAAAGGGUGGUGGUCACGUGGCCCAGAUUUAUGGUGAGUCCCAGGAACUGGGCGCAUGGAGGAGGUGGCUCUGGGAGGGAGGCCUUCACAGCGCUCCUGUACCCUUUAAUUGUGUGUCUUUCUCACAGCUAUCCGUCAGUCCAUCUCCAAAGCCCUGGUGGCCUAUUACCAGAAAUAUGUGGAUGAGGCUUCCAAGAAGGAGAUCAAAGACAUCCUCAUCCAGUAUGACCGGACCCUGCUGGUAGCUGACCCUCGUCGCUGCGAGUCCAAAAAGUUUGGAGGCCCUGGUGCCCGCGCUCGCUACCAGAAAUCCUACCGAUAAGCCCAUCGUGACUCAAAACU